CCUACGGGUGGCUGCAGUCGAGGAUCUUUGGCAAUGGACGCAAGUCUGACCAAGCGACGCCGCGUGGAUGAUGAAGGCCUUCGGGUUGUAAAAUCCUGUCGAGGGGGACGAAGCCGCAAGGUUGACCGAUCCCUGGAGGAAGGGCGGGCUAAGUUCGUGCCAGCAGCCGCGGUAAGACGAACUGCCCAAACGUUGUUCGGAAUCACUGGGCUUAAAGGGCGCGUAGGCGGGCAUAAAAGUCAGGGGUGAAAUCCGGCAGCUUAACUGUCGAAGUGCCUUUGAUACUAUAUGUCUUGAGGGAGGUAGGGGUCCGUGGAACUUCUGGUGGAGCGGUGAAAUGCGUUGAUAUCAGAAGGAACGCCGGUGGCGAAAGCGACGGACUGGAUCUUUUCUGACGCUGAGGCGCGAAAGCUAGGGGAGCAAACGGGAUUAGAUACCCUGGUAGUC
This 447-nucleotide ribosomal RNA is filed under the name uncultured bacterium. RNAcentral describes it as "bacterial SSU rRNA". It matches the Rfam family "Bacterial small subunit ribosomal RNA", at positions 338 to 795 of the family's 1533-position model. The record is from RNAcentral.